This 387-nucleotide small RNA is filed under the name Histoplasma ohiense. Its description in RNAcentral is "hypothetical lncRNA". The record is from RNAcentral. Lineage: Eukaryota; Fungi; Ascomycota; Eurotiomycetes; Onygenales; Ajellomycetaceae.
UGUAACUACUGUCAGUGAGAGAUAUAGUUGAGUAUCACUUUGACAAUUAGAACUUUGAAAUUUCAGUAUGAGUGAUCAUUCUUCUCAGAGAGAUGUGGAAAAGUUCUGAGAUCAAAGUAUGAAAGAAUUUGAAAACUUUGUUACAGCUGCUAUCACUUUUCAUGUCAGUGAUUUUGAUUACUACAACAAACACAAUCAUCAAAAGAUCAUUGAAGUCAUUACUCAUUUCAAUAUCAAGAUGCAACAACAUUGAUAUCAAUAUACACAUAAUAUACAGACUUUGUCAUCAUGGAAAGAAUUUGUUAGUUGAAUGCAAUGUCAAGUCAUCAAUUCAGAUAGAAGUUUCUGAGAUGUCAAUAGACAGUACUGAAAAACAGAGCAACAAGA